GGCGUUGGAGAUAAAGCCAAAUCGGUUAUUAAUUGUUAUCCUAAUAUGACUAGGAUUUAUCUCUAACUAACUUUCCAAUUUGAAAGCGAGAUUAAUCCUAAUCCAAUUAGAUAACAUAAUAUCCGUCGGAUCGAACCCGAUUAUGGGCGUACCCGAUUCGAUUUAACCGAAUGCCAACACUAAAUGUUAGAGAGAUGCAUGAAAAUGAUGUUGCAUGAAUGCAUAGGUUAUAUUAUGCAAGUUGGAACAUAUGCAUGUUAAUGUAUUUGUGGACUAUGUUGAGUAACAUAUGCUAAUUAACAUAUGCAUGUUGACUUGGGUCUAAAACUCUUGGAUGAUUAAAAAACUUGACAUUGGGAAUACAAUGUAGUAUUAAUAUAAUGAUAUGUUGGUUUCCUACAAUGGGAUGAUAAAUGUGGAUAAGAACCUAGACCCUAUAAGUGAUGGUUGAUACUUAUGUUGCUAAAGAACUAGUGUGAUGUAACUAGUGUUGAUGAUGAGUCUAAAUGACGAGUGGCAUCUAGUUAGAAAACUAUGAUGAGUGGCAUAUGAUUGUUGAUGACCUUGAUAUGAGAACAUUAGUGUAGUUGAGACACUAUGAGACCAAGUACAAGUAUACCUUGAUUCCAUGAUGAGAUUACCCUUAGAGGGUAGGUUGCUGCUGUUCGUGAGUUGAUCGUGCUCACAUAGCCUGUCUGCGCUUGGAGGGGUCGCUCCCCACAAGUUGUGCACUCCGGAGGUUGGUCACUAGAGGGACAGUCAGUGUGCUGUCUGGACGGUCUGUGUGCUGUCCGCAGGCGGUCUCGGGGGACAGUUCAGUGAGACUUCUCCCCUAUGAGACUUUGAGAUGUGAGAUUGAGGGCGACCCCCUUCGGGUUAGCCAAGUGAUUGGGUAACAAGCUUAUGAGCUAUAGUGAUUGUCCUACUUGAGGGGAUUUAAGGCCGAGGUGCAAGUGAGAUGUCCUUCGCCUCGUGCCUGGCUUUAUGCGGUACUCCGCAGAUGAUUGACUCAAGACCGAGUCGGGCGGCUAGCUUUGUAAAGGUAGAUGAAACCUUAUGAUUAAAAUGGUAAAUGACAGAAAACCUUAAAUGUCAAUUGGAUGAAAGUAGUAAUCGAUUGAAUUACUAGUUGGUUGUAUAGUUGCAUUAUUGCAUGAUCUUCAUAUUGCAUAUCGCGAGGCAAUGCAUGGUAUUGUUAGUUGCAUGAUCUUAUUAUCAUAUCUAUCUGUUUAUUGAACUAACCUGCAGCUUGCCUCCUUCGGACAUGUCGGUCGAGUUUUUCCUUGGGUGGCCGUACCCACUGGGAACUAUGGAGUUAGUUCUCACCCCACAUUGCUUUUGGGGUGUUACAGGUUUGCACGAGUGCGGCGCGGUGGCGCGAGGCGAGGGCGUAGCUCUGUAGAUAGCGCCCUACCACAGAGACCAGAGCUAGCAGUACCCCGUCGACAUAGCUUAGGGGUAUAGAAAAUGGUAAGAACAUAAUGUAUCAAAUUGUAAUGAGUAAAUG
This 1507-nucleotide long non-coding RNA is filed under the name Ananas comosus (pineapple). RNAcentral's name for it is "long non-coding RNA (ACOM_LNC019990)". Lineage: Eukaryota; Viridiplantae; Streptophyta; Magnoliopsida; Poales; Bromeliaceae. The record is from RNAcentral.